Molecule: ribosomal RNA, 440 nt
Filed under: uncultured bacterium
Lineage: Bacteria
Description: partial 16S ribosomal RNA
Rfam family: Bacterial small subunit ribosomal RNA
Source: RNAcentral
CCUACGGGUGGCAGCAGUGGGGGAUAUUGCACAAUGGGGGGAACCCUGAUGCAGCGAAGCCGCGUGGGUGAAGAAGCGCCUCGGCGCGUAAAGCCCUUUCAGCCGGGAAGAAAAUGACGGUACCUGAAGAAGAAGCCCCGGCUAACUACGUGCCAGCAGCCGCGGUAAUACGGAGGGGGCAAGGGUUAUCCGGAUUUACUGGGUGUAGAGGGGGCGCAGACGGCGGUGCGAGCCAGGAGUGAAAGCCCGGGGCCUAACCCCGGGACUGCUGUUGAAACUGGGUGGCUGGAGUGCAGGAGGGGCAGGCGGAAUUCCUGGUGUAGCGGUGAAAUGCGUAGAUAUCAGGAGGAACACCGGUGGCGAAGGCGGCCUGCUGGACUGAAACUGACGGUGAGGCCCGAAAGCGUGGGGAGCAAACAGGAUUAGAUACCCUAGUAGUC